AUAAUUUCAUUGAAGAGAAGAGUAUCCAUUUAAAUACUCGAAGCGAGCAGGAGAGGGUGUAAGUCCUGUAGUGUUUUAUUGGAGAAUAGAGUCUUGGAGAAGCUGCUAAGUUGUAUUUAAUUAAAUACAAUGAGGUUUGCCGUUAACUGCGUUAAAGUUUUGAGUGAGCUAAACUUAGCUAACUAGAGUGGUACCGCGGAUAUAUCCGUCUCUGUU
This 216-nucleotide non-coding RNA is filed under the name Clostridium homopropionicum. RNAcentral describes it as "T-box sequence". It matches the Rfam family "T-box leader". From Rfam's summary of the family: Uncharged tRNA acts as the effector for transcription antitermination of genes in the T-box leader family. The record is from RNAcentral. Lineage: Bacteria; Bacillati; Bacillota; Clostridia; Eubacteriales; Clostridiaceae.